RNAcentral lists this long non-coding RNA (160 nucleotides) under Ictidomys tridecemlineatus (thirteen-lined ground squirrel). Its description in RNAcentral is "lncRNA (ENSSTOG00000034553.1)". Lineage: Eukaryota; Metazoa; Chordata; Mammalia; Rodentia; Sciuridae. The record is from RNAcentral.
GCAGGGUGACCUUGCCAGCCCUGAGUCACCGAACACGCUGCAGUCUGGUCUUCCCAGGCUGCCUGAAGCCCUGGCCCCCAGCGCAGCCCAAGGCCUGCCCUAGGAGGAGCGGGAUUGGACUCCAUCCAACAGAGAGCCCAUGGGGACGAGCGCAGGUCCC